RNAcentral lists this long non-coding RNA (431 nucleotides) under Elaeis guineensis (African oil palm). RNAcentral describes it as "long non-coding RNA (EGUI_LNC065824)". The record is from RNAcentral. Lineage: Eukaryota; Viridiplantae; Streptophyta; Magnoliopsida; Arecales; Arecaceae.
GACCACCAUGAUAAUUUGUAAGCAACUCACUAUACUUUAGUACUAGACUAUCUAAAUUUCUAACUUAGUGACAGAAAGAUACUAGGUGCAGUCAAAUACUUAUCAAGUCGGUGUGUGAGUCAAGAUGGAAUUGAUCCCUUUGAAUUAGUAGGAGAUAUGCAUCAGUGUAUUUCAAUUUAGCAAAACCUUGGUCAGAGUAAUCCAUAAGAUGGAUUUGAAAGGUUGAAAUAUAAUGUGGUUGACUUAAUUAAGGUUGAUAGUUAAACCCUAAGUCACCUUGAGCAUUUGGGUCAAAGAGAUGAAUUAUAUGAUAACCAUACGCCAGUAGGUUCUAGAAGGUUACUUUGCAACACUUUGAUCCAUCCGGUCAUCAGUCAUCAUUGCUAGAUCGUUACACCGAUUGGUAUAGAAAGUUGUUCCUAUACUACUGG